Molecule: ribosomal RNA, 302 nt
Filed under: Dysdera erythrina
Lineage: Eukaryota; Metazoa; Arthropoda; Arachnida; Araneae; Dysderidae
Description: partial 12S ribosomal RNA
Source: RNAcentral
CAGUAUAUUUUAUAAAAAAUUAUAUACUUUGGCGGCGCCAAUUCUUAUUAAAGGAACUCGUUUGUUAAUCGACAACACUCGUUAAUUUUUACUCGCCUUAAUUAGCUUAUAUACCGCCGUCAAAAUUAUUUUUAAAAAUAUAAUUUAAUUCACCUAAAUAAUGUCAGGUCAAGGUAUAGCCCAUAAGCAAGAACAAAUAAGUUACUAUAAAAUUAAUUUAUAGAAACAAAUUAAAUUUACAUAAAAAAGGAUUUAACAACAAUAUUUUACUAUUAAUUUAAUAUGAAAUUGUUUUAACGUGC